Ribosomal RNA from Pteropus vampyrus (large flying fox), 114 nucleotides. The record is from Ensembl. NCBI's taxonomy places the organism in Eukaryota, Metazoa, Chordata, Mammalia, Chiroptera, Pteropodidae.
GUCUACGCCAUGCCACCCUGAACAAGCCUAAAGUCUGAUCUCAGAAGCUAAACAGGGUCGGGGCUGGUUAGUACUUGAAUGGAGGCCACCUAAGAAGACCAGGUGCUGUAGGUG